AGAGUUUGAUCCUGGCUCAGGAUGAACGCUGGCGGCGUGCUUAACACAUGCAAGUCGAACGAACCUUCGGGUUAGUGGCGGACGGGUGAGUAACGCGUGAGAAUCUGCCCUCAGGAGGGGGAUAACGGCUGGAAACGGCCGCUAAUACCCCAUAUGCCGCGAGGUGAAAUGAAUUUCGCCUGAGGAUGAGCUCGCGUCUGAUUAGCUAGUUGGUGUAGGUAAUGGCUCACCAAGGCGUCGAUCAGUAGCUGGUCUGAGAGGAUGAUCAGCCACACUGGGACUGAGACACGGCCCAGACUCCUACGGGAGGCAGCAGUGGGGAAUUUUCCGCAAUGGGCGAAAGCCUGACGGAGCAACGCCGCGUGAGGGAUGAAGGCCUCUGGGCUGUAAACCUCUUUUCUCAAGGAAGAAGAUCUGACGGUACUUGAGGAAUAAGCCACGGCUAAUUCCGUGCCAGCAGCCGCGGUAAUACGGGAGUGGCAAGCGUUAUCCGGAAUUAUUGGGCGUAAAGCGUCCGCAGGCGGCCCUUCAAGUCUGCUGUUAAAACGUGGAGCUUAACUCCAUCAUGGCAGUGGAAACUGUUGGGCUUGAGUGUGGUAGGGGCAGAGGGAAUUCCCGGUGUAGCGGUGAAAUGCGUAGAUAUCGGGAAGAACACCAGUGGCGAAGGCGCUCUGCUGGGCCAUAACUGACGCUCAUGGACGAAAGCCAGGGGAGCGAAAGGGAUUAGAUACCCCUGUAGUCCUGGCCGUAAACGAUGAACACUAGGUGUCGGGGGAAUCGACCCCCUCGGUGUCGUAGCCAACGCGUUAAGUGUUCCGCCUGGGGAGUACGCACGCAAGUGUGAAACUCAAAGGAAUUGACGGGGGCCCGCACAAGCGGUGGAGUAUGUGGUUUAAUUCGAUGCAACGCGAAGAACCUUACCAGGGUUUGACAUCCUGCGAAUCUCUUGGAAACGAGAGAGUGCCUUCGGGAACGCAGUGACAGGUGGUGCAUGGCUGUCGUCAGCUCGUGUCGUGAGAUGUUGGGUUAAGUCCCGCAACGAGCGCAACCCACGUCUUUAGUUGCCAGCAUUUAGUUGGGCACUCUAGAGAGACCGCCGGUGAUAAACCGGAGGAAGGUGUGGAUGACGUCAAGUCAUCAUGCCCCUUACAUCCUGGGCUACACACGUACUACAAUGCUACGGACAAAGGGCAGCAAGUUCGCGAGGACAAGCAAAUCCCAUAAACCGUGGCUCAGUUCAGAUCGUAGGCCGCAACUCGCCUACGUGAAGGCGGAAUCGCUAGUAAUCGCAGGUCAGCAUACUGCGGUGAAUACGUUCCCGGGCCUUGUACACACCGCCCGUCACACCAUGGAAGUUGGCCACGCCCGAAGCCGUUACUCCAACCCUUGUGGAGGAGGACGUCGAAGGUGGGGCUGAUGACUGGGGUGAAGUCGUAACAAGGUAACC
This 1447-nucleotide ribosomal RNA is filed under the name uncultured bacterium. Its description in RNAcentral is "bacterial SSU rRNA". It matches the Rfam family "Bacterial small subunit ribosomal RNA". The record is from RNAcentral.